UAGUGUAGUGGUUAGCACAUCUGCUUUGCACGCAGAAGGUCCUGGGUUUGCCCCCCAG
RNAcentral lists this transfer RNA (58 nucleotides) under Pteropus alecto (black flying fox). It matches the Rfam family "tRNA", at positions 8 to 63 of the family's 71-position model. From Rfam's summary of the family: Transfer RNA (tRNA) molecules are approximately 80 nucleotides in length. Their secondary structure includes four short double-helical elements and three loops (D, anti-codon, and T loops). Further hydrogen bonds mediate the characteristic L-shaped molecular structure. tRNAs have two regions of fundamental functional importance: the anti-codon, which is responsible for specific mRNA codon recognition, and the 3' end, to which the tRNAs corresponding amino acid is attached (by aminoacyl-tRNA synthetases). tRNAs cope with the degeneracy of the genetic code in two manners: having more than one tRNA (with a specific anti-codon) for a particular amino acid; and 'wobble' base-pairing, i.e. permitting non-standard base-pairing at the 3rd anti-codon position. Lineage: Eukaryota; Metazoa; Chordata; Mammalia; Chiroptera; Pteropodidae. The record is from Rfam by way of RNAcentral.